RNAcentral lists this unclassified non-coding RNA (630 nucleotides) under Hevea brasiliensis (rubber tree). The record is from RNAcentral. Lineage: Eukaryota; Viridiplantae; Streptophyta; Magnoliopsida; Malpighiales; Euphorbiaceae.
GCUGUUUGGUGUCAGAGUGGUGGUGGAUUCGAUGAGGAAGAGCGUGAGUUUGAACAAUCUGUCGCAGUAUGAGCAACCUCACGACGCCGCCGAUGUAAUAGCAAACAACAACAAGAACGACCUCGUUUCCGUCAAUAACAAAGACGAUGUUGCCGCUGGUUAUGCCUCUGCGGAUGAUGCUGUUCCAAACGCCCGAGGGAACCGCGAACGUGAGCGCAAGCGAGGUGUGCCUUGGACUGAGGAAGAACACAAGCUGUUUUUAAUUGGACUACAACAAGUAGGGAAGGGGGAUUGGAGAGGAAUUUCUAGGAACUUUGUUAAGACUCGCACCCCAACUCAGGUUGCUAGCCACGCUCAGAAGUACUUUCUUCGCCGGAGCAAUCUAAAUCGUCGUCGCCGUAGAUCUAGUCUUUUUGAUAUCACGACGGACACGGUCACGGCUGCUCCAAUGGUUGAAGAGCCGGUCCAGCGUCAAGAAAUUCCCUCUCAAUCCCAUUCCUUUACUCCAUCAACCUUACCUGAAAUUUCUAAAAACAACGUAAUCCCAAUAAUUCAAACUUUGCCACUUUCGUUUGGGCCAACACCAUUAGCCACUCCAACCAAGAAUCUAAUGGAAAAGUGUGGUCCUAG